GACGAACGCUGGCGGCGUGCCUAACACAUGCAAGUCGAACGGAACUGUUUUGAAAGAUUUCUUCGGAAUGAAUUUGAUUUAGUUUAGUGGCGGACGGGUGAGUAACGCGUGAGUAACCUGCCUUCAAGAGGGGGAUAACAUUCUGAAAAGAAUGCUAAUACCGCAUGACAUAUCGGAAUCACAUGGUUUUGAUAUCAAAGAUUUUAUCGCUUGAAGAUGGACUCGCGUCCGAUUAGUUAGUUGGUGAGGUAACGGCUCACCAAGACCGCGAUCGGUAGCCGGACUGAGAGGUUGAACGGCCACAUUGGGACUGAGACACGGCCCAGACUCCUACGGGAGGCAGCAGUGGGGGAUAUUGCGCAAUGGGGGCAACCCUGACGCAGCAACGCCGCGUGAAGGAUGAAGGUUUUCGGAUUGUAAACUUCUUUUAUUAAGGACGAAACUUGACGGUACUUAAUGAAUAAGCUCCGGCUAA
RNAcentral lists this ribosomal RNA (475 nucleotides) under uncultured bacterium. Its description in RNAcentral is "bacterial SSU rRNA". It matches the Rfam family "Bacterial small subunit ribosomal RNA", at positions 28 to 500 of the family's 1533-position model. The record is from RNAcentral.